AAAAUACAUUCAGGCAGCUGCAUCCUCGCGGCCCCCGCCGCAGCCUGGACCUUGGGAACCAGCAGCCCUGAGCCAGGAAGCCCCAGCAUUCAGGGCCCAGACAGACUCCAAAAUCCCAGACCAGAGGCAGGGAAGGAUGGUGCGAGGAGGAGCCCAGGACCCACACGCCAGGGCCAGCGCCGGCUCCCAGUGGGUGCCUCCUUCCAAGGCUGGAGAGGGAGGCAGAAUGGAGGGCUUCCCAGGUCGGAGCAACUCUACAGGCUGGGCAGGUGGAGGGAAGGGUGCAGGUCAUGUUCUGGAGACCUCCCCGCAGCCUGGAACUGGUUUCUCCUCUGCCUCUCUGCCUGUGGGUGUCCCUGUGCUCUGGUAACACCCCAGGCACCAGCUGUGCCGUCACCAGGCUGCCUGCCCGCCCCUUCUGCCAUCCCCAUCAGCGGGCUGCUUCAGAGCCACGGCCCUUCUGCGGCUACAGGGGCGGAUGCACCCACAGCAUGCUCUGCACUGAGGAGCAGGCAGUGGGCGCUGAUGCCACCUGCCCUGCCGACAGCUCCUCACCCAGCAAGGCCGACCCAGCCCCGGGUGAAAGAGGAGCGAGUGAGGUAGAUUGGGGAGAGGCUGCACCUUCACCCAUGCCUGCCCACAGCACGGCCCCUCCACUUCCUGCACGGGCGCUGGGAACUGCUUUCCAUGGAGCCCCACGGCCAUGACCAGCCCGGUGCUGGGAGAGGACGGCCUGGGUGGUGUGUGUCUGCAGACACGAAGAUCUGGGCACGGGGCCCAGGAAGUGAAUGGCUCAGCCUGGAGUUUCCCCCAGCACUAGAAGCAGAGCUGCCAAGGGCUGCAGCUGUGGAGAACAUGGGAUUUGAGGAAGGCGGGAGUCUUUUCCGUCAUACUUUGUGAGCAGGCAGAUGUGCCAGGGGAGACGGAAGAUAAGGAAUGUGCGUUUAGCUUUAAUGUCUGUUAAAUAGGUUGGGAAAAACAGGCCGAGUGUGGGGACCUGACUCCUGCAAAGGGCCUACUGCAGCCCUCUGCACUCAAGCAGCAGCCCCAUCCAGACCAGGAGCGUUCUGUUCUCCGGGCAGACAGGGCUGACAGGUGUAGGACGGCAUCUCUUUCCUUUGGAGUGUGGGCUGGGGUCAGAGGAGAAACAGCAACUUCCUGCUCCUUCUCGCUGUGUCGUUGGUUCACCGUAGACCACGUCCUGCAUUCCCUCUGAUCCUCUCAUGGGGAGAGCCCUGGACCUUCUGGUGGUGUCCCAGCUGGGUGUGUUCAAGGCUGCCACCCUGCUGGGGGCAGCUGGCCCGCAGGGAAGGGCCAGACAGCACCUCUCAGUGGAGACUGAAUCUUCCUUCAGGAGGCUGCCUCCAGGAAAGACCUGGGGUCCUCCCUGCGCUCAGCGCUGGCUGGCUGUCCUGUUCAUGCAGUGGAAGACGUUACAGAAGAAUUCAUACCAGAAGAACAUGAAGCCUGUGGAGAGGGCAGCCUUCAGCAAGCUGGGGGACAGGCCCUUGAAGAAGCCCAGGGCACCUUCCUUUUGCAGCACCUGCUUGGCACAGUCCAUGAGGCCCUUGUAUCUGCGCACCUGGGGAGAGGAAAGGGAUGAAAACAUGGAUGUCCACUCUGCUCCCAUCAACACAGCCCGUGGCACAUCACAGCUCUUAAGAAGUACUUGCUGGACAAAGGAAUGAAUGCAAAAUAGCAAAUGUUUUUAUUUUCUUUUUUCUUUUUUUUUUUUUUGAGACGGAGUCUCGCUGUGUCUCCCAGGCUGGAGUGCAGUGGCGUGAUCUCGGCUCACUGCAAGCUCCGCCUCCCGGGUUCACGCCAUUCUCCCGCCUCAGCCUCCCAAGUAGCUGAGACUACAGGCGCCCGCCACCACACCCGGCUAGUUUUUUUUUUUUGUAUUUUUAGUAGAGACGGGGUUUCACCAUGUUAGCCAGGAUAGUCUCGAUCUCCUGACCUCGUGAUCCACCCGCCUCGGCCUCCCGAAGUGCUGGGAUUACAGGCUUGAGCCACCGCGCCCGGCCUAUUUUAUUUUUUUCAUUGAGGCAGAAUUUCUCUCUGUUGCCCAGGCUGGAAUGCAGUGGCACAAUCUUGGAUCAUUGCAGCCUCCGCCUCCCAGGUUCAAGCGAUUCUCCUGCCUCAGCCUCCUGAGUAGCUGGGAUUACAGACACACACCACCACCCCCGGCUAAUUUUUUGUAUUUUUAGUAGAGAUGCAGUUUCGCCAUGUUGGCCAGGCUGGUCUUGAACUCCUGACCUCAGGUGAUCCACCUGCUUCAGCCUCCUAAUGUGCUGGGAUUACAGUCGUGGGCAACCAUGCCCAGCUCAAAAUAGCAAAUAAAUUAAUCUCAUUCUUUGUACUGCAAUUAGGUUAAGACUGAAUAGCUGACAGGCCUAGAAAUCAGCAGCUGGACAGACCUCCUUCCUGCCCAGGAAGAACGGCUGCCUGUGGCUCCAAAGGAUCCAGCAAUGGCUCCGGAACCUCUUCCCAGAGGUGUCUCUGACCCUUCACCUCAUCCCACCUGAUCCCCCUUGGGCAGCAGAUCUGAACCUGGCCCUCAGUAGCUCUCAGCCAGGCCUCCCUGCCUCCAGCUCACCCUCUCCAGCUGACCUCAUGCACUGCUGCCAGACUUUCGUCCCCAGGCACAGCCCUCCUCAGGCCUGGCUUCCCUCCAAAAGCUGCAGUAACUCAUAGUGACAACAUCAUGAGAAAUCAAGUUCAAACCCCAAGAUCUGCCAUUCAAGGCACUGCACCAUUUCGCCUUGAUUUCCCUCCAUGAUCUGACCUCCACUGUCCUCCCACAUGCCCUUCCCACCUCUGGCCAGACUGGAUUACACUAGUCUUCGUUAGCAGCAAGGCCUCCCUCUGCCAUCCUGGGCUCCCACCAUCACUCCCUGUCCAAAUUCAAACUGUCCCUUCAUGCUGGGUGCAGUGGUGCAUGCCUGCAGUUCCAGCUACUUGGGAGGCUGAGAGGGGAGGAUCGCUUGAGCCCAGGAGUUCGAGACCAGCCUAGGCAACAGAGUGAUGUCCCAUUUAAAAAAAAAAAGAAAAGAAAACAAACUCUUCAGGACAAGUUGGUAAGUGGAAAAGGGAGGUUACAAACCUUGUAUACAGUGUAUCCCCAUUUUUGUUAAAAUGUACACUGUAUUUAUGAAAAGAAAUAAAACUACAUUGAACGUUU
Molecule: non-coding RNA, 3181 nt
Organism: Macaca mulatta (Rhesus monkey)
Lineage: Eukaryota; Metazoa; Chordata; Mammalia; Primates; Cercopithecidae
Source: RefSeq, a predicted model, not a curated record